This is a non-coding RNA of Triticum urartu, 612 nucleotides long. The record is from RefSeq and is a predicted model, not a curated record. Lineage: Eukaryota; Viridiplantae; Streptophyta; Magnoliopsida; Poales; Poaceae.
UUUAAGUCGUCGCUACCCCUGUUACAGCACCAAAUUACAUCCAAACUGCCACUCGGGCCGAACUGCAUCACACGCACAGGCCAGCCGGAUCUCACGCAGCACAUCCGGCCCCGCCUGCCGGAGCCCGCGGGAACCCGCCUCGUCCCUCCCCGUUCUCUGGACAAGGUGGAUUUUACUCGCCACUGGCAACUGAAGAUGAUAAGCGGAUGCUACCGCUCGCUCAAGUACUUUGUAAGGGCCAUAGUACUUAAACAACAACUUAUGAUGAGCACGAGCAGCGACUGAAGACUGAAUGUAUGGUUGCAGCUUCAGGCCGACCUAGGCGGUAUUGCCUAUUUGGAACUUUGGAUUUUUGUACUCAUUGUAUUCGCAUACUCGAAUUGCAAACCCUUAUGGAAAAACAUGCUCCAAAGCUGUCAAUUAAUUUCCGCGUGCACAAGGGGGGGAGGCCAUCGAGGGAACUACAUGCCUGACUUACAAACAUUAUCAUGAUAAUGAACACAUACUUCCAUCAACAUUAUGGAAAAAUCAAACUAUGUAUGUCUUCCACUUAUUUGGCUAAUAUUGGUUACAAUUUAGAGAUAUUUAUUUGCAGCGAGAUAGCUCCCUACA